ACAGAGGAGGCAAGCGUUGUUCGGAAUCACUGGGCUUAAAGCGCGUGUAGGCGGCCGAGUAAGUGUUAUGUGAAAGCCCGCGGCUCAACCGCGGAACGGCACGGCAAACUGCUCGGCUUGAGGUCGGUAGAGGUGCCUGGAACUCUAGGUGGAGCGGGGAAAUGCGUAGAUAUCUAGAGGAACGCCGGAGGCGAAAGCGGGGGACUGGGGCGAUUCUGAGGCUGGGGCGCGGGAGGGUGGGGGGGGGGGAG
RNAcentral lists this ribosomal RNA (251 nucleotides) under uncultured prokaryote. RNAcentral's name for it is "partial 16S rRNA". It matches the Rfam family "Bacterial small subunit ribosomal RNA", at positions 525 to 775 of the family's 1533-position model. The record is from RNAcentral.